This 340-nucleotide unclassified non-coding RNA is filed under the name soil metagenome. Its description in RNAcentral is "partial contains 5.8S ribosomal RNA, internal transcribed spacer 2, and large subunit ribosomal RNA". The stretch from base 1 to 120 matches the Rfam family "5.8S ribosomal RNA", at positions 35 to 154 of the family's 154-position model. The record is from RNAcentral.
GAUGAAGAACGUAGCGAAAUGCGAUAAGUAAUGUGAAUUGCAGAAUUCAGUGAAUCAUCGAAUCUUUGAACGCACAUUGCGCCCGCCAGUAUUCUGGCGGGCAUGCCUGUCUGAGCGUCAUUUCAACCCUCAAGCAACUUCUGCUUGGUGUUGGGGAUCGGCCGUCAAACGCCGCCCCCGAAAUCUAUUGGCGAUCUCGCUGUAGCUUCCUAUGCGUAGUAGUAACACCUCGCGACUGGAGAGCGGCGCGGCCACGCCGUAAAACACCCAACUCUUCUGAAGUUGACCUCGAAUCAGGUAGGAAUACCCGCUGAACUUAAGCAUAUCAAUAAGCGGAGGA